RNAcentral lists this ribosomal RNA (253 nucleotides) under uncultured bacterium. RNAcentral describes it as "partial 16S ribosomal RNA". It matches the Rfam family "Bacterial small subunit ribosomal RNA", at positions 524 to 776 of the family's 1533-position model. The record is from RNAcentral.
UACGUAGGGGGCAAGCGUUGGCCGGAAUCAUUGGGCGUAAAGCGCGCGUAGGCGGCCCCAUAAGUCCGUUGUGAAAGUCAAAGGCUCAACCUUUGAAAGCCGGUGGAUACUGUGGGACUAGAGUACGGAAGAGGCGAGUGGAAUUCCUGGUGUAGCGGUGGAAUGCGCAGAUAUCAGGAGGAACACCAAUAGCGAAGGCAGCUCGCUGGGACGUUACUGACACUGAGGCGCGAAAGCGUGGGGAGCGAACAGG